AGUAUAACUUUUUCCUAAUGCAGAAUGUCCUAGUAGAAAUAAAAAAAUACAGGAUAUCAAUAAUUCAUAGCAUUCCCAAGGAAGGAUACAAGUAAUCGUAUUAAGUAAAAUGAUAAAAUAAUACAAGUCUUAAUGUUGAUGCCCAACAUCAAGCCAUUUUUAAGAAUCACAAGCAGUGCAGCAGUAUUAUUGCUGAUGCUUUAAAGCUGAGCCAUUUUUUCUUAGAUAUUUAUAGGAUGGCUUUGUAGGUAAAAUACAGGAGUAAAUACCUGUGCUAGGUUGUUUUAUUGUGCAGUUAUUCAUUCUUCCUUUCCUGUAAGAAAAUUAUACAUUGUUGCUCAUUGACAUCAGGCUUAAGGGGCCCCUUAUGGACAGAAUAUAUAUUCUCUGCUCUAUUGAUGUUUGACCUGACCACGUGAUGUGCUUUAGUCAAUGGAAUAAAUGUAGGCAUGAUGUAUACUGUUUUUGAGAAGAAACUUUAAAAGGUACUAAUGAAAUUUCUUUGCCUGUUUGUUUCUGCUUUCUGUAUGGGUCCUGGAAUAAAAAUAUAUGGAUGAGGAUUGCAGCUGACUUCAGCCUACGUGCAGUUUGAAUAUUAAAUUCCAUACCGCUUCAGGAGGCACACGUCAUCUUCUGUGGCCUGACUCCUACCAUAUCAGUGUACUCUCAACCAGAAAACUGUUACAGAAGAUGUCCGAGCAUAUGGAAAAGAAACUUGAACAUGGAACAAGGAGACACGGGUUCAGCCUCUGGGCAAAUAAUUGAACUGGCACAACAAAG
Molecule: long non-coding RNA, 780 nt
Organism: Pan troglodytes (chimpanzee)
Lineage: Eukaryota; Metazoa; Chordata; Mammalia; Primates; Hominidae
Exons: 4
Source: RefSeq, a predicted model, not a curated record